This 433-nucleotide ribosomal RNA is filed under the name uncultured bacterium. Its description in RNAcentral is "partial 16S ribosomal RNA". It matches the Rfam family "Bacterial small subunit ribosomal RNA", at positions 29 to 507 of the family's 1533-position model. The record is from RNAcentral.
AGCGAACGCUGGCGGCAGGCCUAACACAUGCAAGUCGAACGAACUCUUCGGAGUUAGUGGCGGACGGGUGAGUAACACGUGGGAACGUGCCUUUUGGUUCGGAAUAACUCAGGGAAACUUGUGCUAAUACCGAAUGUGCCCUUCGGGGGAAAGAUUUAUCGCCAUUAGAGCGGCCCGCGUCUGAUUAGCUAGUUGGUGAGGUAACGGCUCACCAAGGCGACGAUCAGUAGCUGGUCUGAGAGGAUGACCAGCCACACUGGGACUGAGACACGGCCCAGACUCCUACGGGAGGCAGCAGUGGGGAAUCUUGCGCAAUGGGCGAAAGCCUGACGCAGCCAUGCCGCGUGAAUGAUGAAGGUCUUAGGAUUGUAAAAUUCUUUCACCGGGGGCGAUAAUGACGGUACCCGGAGAAGAAGCCCCGGCUAACUUCGUG